UUGAAGUGUUAUCAUGACAUUGUAUGAAUGAGAGUUCAAUGAAGAUAAUGUGAUCAUGUUAUGAAUGUAAAGGUGUUGUUGUAGGUUGUUCACUGAUUUGGUUGCAUAAUUACUACCCUAUUUUCCAUGCUCUUUGAUUUCAUUACAUGCCUUCAAGGUGUUUGACAAAAUGUCCAACUAUGGAGAAUUGAUGAAUCGAUGCUUUAAAGUUUGAGUUAUGAGAUGUAUGGAAAUCCAGAGAUGUGUUGAUGACACUCAUGAAUGUUGAUGAUAUAAUAUGAA
Molecule: long non-coding RNA, 282 nt
Filed under: Solanum tuberosum (potato)
Lineage: Eukaryota; Viridiplantae; Streptophyta; Magnoliopsida; Solanales; Solanaceae
Description: long non-coding RNA (STUB_LNC003675)
Source: RNAcentral